GAAGUGCGAUAAGCAAUGCGAAUUGCAGAAUUCCGCGAGUCAUCAGAUCUUUGAACGCAAAUGGCGCCGGAGGGAUAUCCUUCUGGCAUGUCUGUUUCAGUGUCUGAGAGGUUUCACCUAUAUCUUAAUGUGAUUGACCCUUGUGACAGUAUUUAUUUAUUGUUGCUGGUGGGUCUCUCAUGAAAGAUGCGCGAGUGGAUCUUUCGGUCCAAUGAAGUGGUCACAUCACUCGAAUGUGAUUUCAUUGGGAGCACCGAAUUAUCCGCCAUACUCGCGGUGACAGUAAACAGGUGAUGCUAUAGUAAUAUAUCGUCAUCUUUUUUUCUCUCUCUACACCCUGCAUCUGAGACAGGCAAGAUCACCCGCUGAACUUAA
This 375-nucleotide unclassified non-coding RNA is filed under the name uncultured Ophiostomataceae. RNAcentral describes it as "sequence contains ITS1". The stretch from base 1 to 105 matches the Rfam family "5.8S ribosomal RNA", at positions 50 to 154 of the family's 154-position model. The record is from RNAcentral. Lineage: Eukaryota; Fungi; Ascomycota; Sordariomycetes; Ophiostomatales.